RNAcentral lists this ribosomal RNA (253 nucleotides) under uncultured bacterium. Its description in RNAcentral is "partial 16S ribosomal RNA". It matches the Rfam family "Bacterial small subunit ribosomal RNA", at positions 524 to 776 of the family's 1533-position model. The record is from RNAcentral.
UACGUAGGGGGCUAGCGUUGUCCGGAAUCAUUGGGCGUAAAGAGCGUGUAGGCGGUCCGGUAAGUCAGCUGUGAAAGUCAAGGGCUCAACCCUUGAAUGCCGGUUGAUACUGUCGGGCUAGAGUCCGGAAGAGGCGAGUGGAAUUCCCGGUGUAGCGGUGAAAUGCGCAGAUAUCGGGAGGAACACCGAUAGCGAAGGCAGCUUGCUACACAAUCAUUGACACUGAGGCACGAAAGCGUGGGGAUCAAACAGG